GAUGAACGCUAGCGGCAGGCCUAACACAUGCAAGUCGAGGGGUAGCAGGAUUAAGCUUGCUUAAUUGCUGACGACCGGCGCACGGGUGCGUAACGCGUAUGCAACCUACCUUAUACUGGGGUAUAUCCCGGAGAAAUUCGGAUUAAUCCCCCAUAGUACUAAUGAAUCGCAUGGUUUAUUAGUUAAAGCAUUGCGGUAUAAGAUGGGCAUGCGUCCUAUUAGCUAGAUGGUGAGGUAACGGCUCACCAUGGCUACGAUAGGUAGGUGGCCUGCGAGGGUGGUGCCCGACACUGGGACUGAGGCACGGACCAGACGCCUACGGGAGGCAGCAGUGAGGAAUAUUGGUCAAUGGGCGCAAGCCUGAACCAGCCAUGCCGCGUGCAGGAGGAAUGCCCUAUGGGUUGUAAACUGCUUUUAUUUGGGAAUAAACCUCUUUACGUGUAGAGAGCUGAAGGUACCAAAUGAAUAAGCACCGGCUAACUCCGUGCCAGCCGCCGCAGUAA
Molecule: ribosomal RNA, 503 nt
Filed under: uncultured bacterium
Lineage: Bacteria
Description: partial 16S ribosomal RNA
Rfam family: Bacterial small subunit ribosomal RNA
Source: RNAcentral